UUGGCUAAUGUGUCUUGGCUAAGGUGUCUUGGCUAAUGUGUCUUGGCUAAUGUGUCUUGACUAAUGUGUCUAGGCUAAUGUGUCUUGGCUAAUGUGUCUCGGCUAAUGUGUCUUGGCUAAGGUGUCUCGGCUAAGGUGUCUUGGCUACAGUGUCUUGGCUAAGGUGUCUUGGCUAAUGUGUCUUGGCUAAGGUGUCUUGGCUAAGGUGUCUUGGUUAAGGUGUCUUGGCUAAGGUGUCUUGGCUAAGGUGUCUAAGCUAAGGUGUCUUGGCUAAUGUGUCUUGGCUAAUGUGUCUUGGCUAAUGUGUCUUGGCUACGGUGUCUUGGCUAAGGUGUCUUGGCUAAUGUGUUUUUUCUUAUGUGUCUUGGCUAAUGUGUCUUGGCUAAUGUGUCUUGGCUAAGGUGUCUUGGCUAAGGUGUCUUGGCUAAUAUGUCUUGGCUAAUGUGUCUUGGCU
Long non-coding RNA from Anopheles funestus (African malaria mosquito), 454 nucleotides. RefSeq lists it as uncharacterized. The record is from RefSeq and is a predicted model, not a curated record. The transcript has 3 exons. Lineage: Eukaryota; Metazoa; Arthropoda; Insecta; Diptera; Culicidae.